RNAcentral lists this ribosomal RNA (613 nucleotides) under uncultured bacterium. RNAcentral describes it as "bacterial SSU rRNA". It matches the Rfam family "Bacterial small subunit ribosomal RNA", at positions 110 to 719 of the family's 1533-position model. The record is from RNAcentral.
GUAAUGCCUAGGAAUCUGCCUAGUAGUGGGGGAUAACGUCCGGAAACGGGCGCUAAUACCGCAUACGUCCUACGGGAGAAAGUGGGGGAUCUUCGGACCUCACGCUAUUAGAUGAGCCUAGGUCGGAUUAGCUAGUUGGUGAGGUAAUGGCUCACCAAGGCGACGAUCCGUAACUGGUCUGAGAGGAUGAUCAGUCACACUGGAACUGAGACACGGUCCAGACUCCUACGGGAGGCAGCAGUGGGGAAUAUUGGACAAUGGGCGAAAGCCUGAUCCAGCCAUGCCGCGUGUGUGAAGAAGGUCUUCGGAUUGUAAAGCACUUUAAGUUGGGAGGAAGGGCAGUUACCUAAUACGUGAUUGUUUUGACGUUACCGACAGAAUAAGCACCGGCUAACUCUGUGCCAGCAGCCGCGGUAAUACAGAGGGUGCAAGCGUUAAUCGGAAUUACUGGGCGUAAAGCGCGCGUAGGUGGUUUGUUAAGUUGGAUGUGAAAGCCCCGGGCUCAACCUGGGAACUGCAUCCAAAACUGGCAAGCUAGAGUAUGGUAGAGGGUGGUGGAAUUUCCUGUGUAGCGGUGAAAUGCGUAGAUAUAGGAAGGAACACCAGUGGCGAA